UGCCAGCCGCCGCGGUAAUACGGAGGGUGCAAGCGUUAAUCGGAAUUACUGGGCGUAAAGCGCGCGUAGGUGGCCAAGUCAGUCAGAUGUGAAAGCCCUGGGCUUAACCUGGGAACUGCAUCUGAUACUGCUUGGCUAGAAUACGGUAGAGGGUAGUGGAAUUUCCUGUGUAGCGGUGAAAUGCGUAGAUAUAGGAAGGAACACCAGUGGCGAAGGCGACUACCUGGACCGAUAUUGACACUGAGGUGCGAAAGCGUGGGGAGCAAACAGGAUUAGAUA
This 279-nucleotide ribosomal RNA is filed under the name uncultured bacterium. RNAcentral's name for it is "partial 16S ribosomal RNA". It matches the Rfam family "Bacterial small subunit ribosomal RNA", at positions 506 to 784 of the family's 1533-position model. The record is from RNAcentral.